This 142-nucleotide small nuclear RNA is filed under the name Sorex araneus (European shrew). RNAcentral describes it as "U1 spliceosomal RNA (ENSSARG00000018852.1)". It matches the Rfam family "U1 spliceosomal RNA". Rfam says of the family: U1 is a small nuclear RNA (snRNA) component of the spliceosome (involved in pre-mRNA splicing). Its 5' end forms complementary base pairs with the 5' splice junction, thus defining the 5' donor site of an intron. There are significant differences in sequence and secondary structure between metazoan and yeast U1 snRNAs, the latter being much longer (568 nucleotides as compared to 164 nucleotides in human). The record is from RNAcentral. Lineage: Eukaryota; Metazoa; Chordata; Mammalia; Eulipotyphla; Soricidae.
GAUCUUUCCUAGCAGGGGAUAUAGCAUGAAGGUAGAUUUUCCAGGGCAAGGCUUAUUCCUGUGCUGACACCUGUAAUUUCCCCAUAGUUGGGGAACUGGACUCCAUCUUUUAUGGAAGUCGGGGACUGUUUGUGCUCUCCGG